UGGGGAAUUUUGGACAAUGGGCGAAAGCCUGAUCCAGCAAUGCCGCGUGUGUGAAGAAGGCCUUCGGGUUGUAAAGCACUUUUGUCCGGAAAGAAAUGGCUCUGGUUAAUACCUGGGGUCGAUGACGGUACCGGAAGAAUAAGGACCGGCUAACUACGUGCCAGCAGCCGCGGUAAUACGUAGGGUCCAAGCGUUAAUCGGAAUUACUGUGCGUAAAGCGUGCGCAGGCGGUUGUGCAAGACCGAUGUGAAAUCCCCGAGCUUAACUUGGGAAUUGCAUUGGUGACUGCACGGCUAGAGUGUGUCAGAGGGGGGUAGAAUUCCACGUGUAGCAGUGAAAUGCGUAGAGAUGUGGAGGAAUACCGAUGGCGAAGGCAGCCCCCUGGGAUAACACUGACGCUCAUGCACGAAAGCGUGGGGAGCAAACAGG
Molecule: ribosomal RNA, 429 nt
Filed under: Bacillota bacterium
Lineage: Bacteria; Bacillati; Bacillota
Description: Firmicutes bacterium partial 16S ribosomal RNA
Rfam family: Bacterial small subunit ribosomal RNA
Source: RNAcentral